RNAcentral lists this transfer RNA (66 nucleotides) under Pedicinus badii. Its description in RNAcentral is "tRNA-Pro". The record is from RNAcentral. Lineage: Eukaryota; Metazoa; Arthropoda; Insecta; Psocodea; Pedicinidae.
CAGAUGUUAUUUUAUAUAAAAUAUAGACUUUGGGAGUUUAAGAAAGGAAUAUUUCCUACUAUCUGA